Molecule: ribosomal RNA, 231 nt
Filed under: uncultured bacterium
Lineage: Bacteria
Description: partial 16S ribosomal RNA
Rfam family: Bacterial small subunit ribosomal RNA
Source: RNAcentral
UGGGCAACCUGCCCCUAGCACUGGGAUAACCCCGGGAAACCGGGGCUAAUACCGGAUACGACCUCAGAAGGCAUCUUCCGAGGUGGAAAGGGUUACUAGCUAGGGAUGGGCCCGCGGCCUAUCAGCUUGUUGGUGGGGUAACGGCCUACCAAGGCGACGACGGGUAGCCGGCCUGAGAGGGCGACCGGCCACACUGGGACUGAGACACGGCCCAGACUCCUACGGGAGGCA